Gallus gallus (chicken) is the source of this 6666-nucleotide long non-coding RNA. RefSeq lists it as uncharacterized. The record is from RefSeq and is a predicted model, not a curated record. The transcript has 3 exons. Lineage: Eukaryota; Metazoa; Chordata; Aves; Galliformes; Phasianidae.
GCCGCUCCCUUCUCUCCUUCCUCCUCUGUUCCCUUUUCCGUAGCGCAGCCCCGGUUUCACGCUCGAAAGCAAAGCCCUGGACUCUCAGUGGUUGGUGCUCGUGGUUUGAUGUGUCCACUUCUGCAAUCACCCAUGGUUGAAGAGGUGGACUUGGUCCAUCCAUGGGACAUUGCGGUGAUGAGGGAACCCAGGAGAAACUGAUCCUGCAGUCAUGGUUGUGCUGCCCUGGAGAUGCACCAUCUCAUGGGAUCUUCACCAGCUCAACCAUUACAAGAUGCCCCAGGUCAUGGGAAAGGGUCUUCACCCAUGUGAGCAAAGUCAUGCAAACAUAUCCAGUGGAUGCUGAGAAUCACCCUUCUUCUCCUUUCACCCCAGCAGAAGCUGAGUCAAGACAGCACACGCCUCCCUCCCCUGGUUCUCCUUCACCAGAGUGCUUAUUAGCAUUUCUCCAAAAACAUGCCACUAAUUGCAAGGUGGGUCGCUGUCAGCCCUCUUGCAUCAGCAAGACUUGUUAUUGAGAGGCGACGUGGUCCCUGAUUCAUGGAGAUGGGGAGGAGGAAAGGGGCACAACCUGCCGUGCUUCCACUGAUGGUCCCAGGGGUGUCCUCACCAAAACACCAGCCAAUGGCCAAGCUAAAGUUGAUCUGAAGCCAAUAACAAAUUACCAGCAGGGGGAUUGAUUCUCGGCACAACCAAAGCUGUGGAACCCAGCAGGUUUUGGAACCGAGGCCGUGAAACAACAAAACUCUCAGCUGUUGAAAAGGAUUAUAAUUACAGCUCUAUCUCCAGUACAAUCUUCCCCCAGAAGUCGGUAAUUUGCUCAGAUUUUUUUGUUGUUGUUGUUUCGUUCUUCUUGUCUCCUUUAGGAGCGGGAUGGAGGAGACUGCAGGAACUGAACUUGGGUGAUGCUAAACUCUGGCUCAGUGUCUUCUUGGUACAUUCCACCCAGAGAGGGGACAAGUAGGGCUCCAGCCCUGGCUAAAACCAUGAAUGUUGGGUGUCUCCACUGUUUUGCCAAUGGAGGUGAGAUCAUCUCACCUUCGCGCCACAUCAUUCUUCGUGAUGGUCGUGUGUUGGCUGGAUGCAUGCAUGGACAUGGAUUUCCUGAUGGAAAGGGCAGCAGCGCUGUUGCAAGGCUCUGGCUGAGUAACCAAGCUCUCAGAAGGUGAUUGGGAUGGAAGCAACGCAGAGAAAAGAAAGGGGACGAAGAACUUCUUUUUUUUUUCCCCAUUCUUUAGGUUUUCUUUCAAUCAUCAAUAGGAAUCAAUCAUCAGCGUGAGCGUAUGUGUUCCUAUCUUUUGACCAGCUCAGUUUUUGCAAGGGCACCUGUAAGAUUUGGCAGAAGGUAAAUGUACUCCUGGCAUUCAUACUCUCAGCCUGGAAUAUCAAAACCAGCUCCUUUUCAGAUGUGGAUUCUCCCCGAGCGGAAAUAUUGAGAGGAGGGAGAGCUUACACCCAAAUCUGUACUGUAUGCAAUUAAACAUGCAGAGUUUGAAACUUUACAAGCAAAGUAGAAAUUCUGCCCUAUACCUGGUUGGGAAGAUUUGCUUGGAUGCAGAGUUUCCAUUGCGUGAGCCUCUGUGCCCUGGCAUCAGAGCCGGCCAAGAGUGAUGGAGAGAUGCAAAUGAAAAGCUAGUGGGUCUUCCUGAGAAAUCUUUGAACACACGUCCAAAAAAUGAAUGUGUUUUCUUCUAAUUAGGAACGUUCGUUAUAUCUUGUGGCAAUCUACAAAACAAGCCACAUGCCGGUUAUUGUUGGUACAAGCACAACAAUUCUGACUGUGGGAAAAAAAAUAUUUCCAGGCAUGUAGGACACAAAACGUACUAAAGGCAUUUUAAUGGCACUUUAAUUAAUCUCUAGGCAUAUGUUAAACAGAGAGUAUCUAAAAAGGUGUGUAUGUGUGUGGGGGGUAGUAACGAAAGCUAGGACUCAAAUCAAAAGAUGCCUUAGUACCUGCAAAAGCUAUUAAAUAUAAUUACAUUCAUUUAAAAUAUCCCCACGCAUAAAAAAAUGGUAAACUGGAAUGAAGGUUGCAAGCAGAUCUCACCAAAUCAAGGCUUAAAAAAAUAUAUUUCAAAAGAAUGCUGUCAUUAGCAUAUGAACAAAAACAAACCUUGAAUAAAUUUAGAGUUAAGGUGAGACGUAAAAAAAGAAAUCCAAAGAAGAUAAGUGUGGAAAAUUACAGUGGAGGCAGCUGAACCAUCUCCACUUGGAGAUGCGGCGCAGAAGCACUGGGGGAGGAAAAACGAAUGUGGAUUUAGAAACACGCUAUCCUGACCUGGGACCACAGAAAUGGAAAUGCCUUUUGCAUACGUGUGUUGGCUGAUAGCACUUAUCGCUACUGGAUGGAGAUCCUUAUUUCCAGUUUGCUUACCAUGCCAUAGAUCUGACUACCCAUACACUCUAUGACAAAGCAGCCACGGUUUCUACAGAUUCAGUUUUUUUGGUUCAAAGGGAAAUUAACCUGAUUUUAUCAAAAAAUCAACAGGUCCUGUCAAAUUCUUGCAAGGGCUUUCCAGCAGUCACCUUGAAUUGUAUCCCAGUUGUUGGGAGGAGCAUCAAGCACUCUUGAAGGAACCAACGCGCAAGUAUCUCCCUGAGUUUUGCUUUGGAAGGACCUUGCAGAGGGAUCCUGGAUUCUGCAUGACUGUUAUGCGGAGAUCUUGGCAGCUAAGACUCACUUCUGCAAUAAAAAUUCAAUGUAAGCUGAUGCCCCUGGUGAUAGGUUCUUAUAAAAGUACCUGGAAAAGUAUCCAGAAAGCUACUCAAGGAUGAACAAGGCCUGGAGUUGUAUCUUGCAACAGAUGUCACAAUAAAAACAAGGAUUAGCUGUUAGAAGGGACCUGAAGGUUAGAAAGCAGAAUGAAGUUUCUUCUUGUAUUGCUCAGUGAUUCUUCUGGUACUGUUGGCUGGGAGCAGGCACUGGUGUCACCAGUGUCAUCUGCUUCAAGCUGAGCAGAGCUGGGAACCUGGAAGCACUCAUUCCCCACUCCUCUUUACCCCUACCACGCUCUGUGAACUGGCACAAACUGCUUUGCCGCCUUGCUUUGGUUUCACUAUUUUCAAUGCCAGCAUAAAGCAAAUCCAUCCUUGUUCUCAGCAAGCAAUCAACUCCAGUCGACCUUUCUCCCAGUACGUCUGAUAGGAGCUACCACAGCUUUCAAGUCCUUUGGCCAUUAAAUUAGUACCCAUGCUGAAUGGUUACUUGUUUUUAUUACUCUCAGUUGGUGGCUGGUGGGACCAUCCAUACACCUGCCUCGCCCAAAACUCACGCAAGUGUAAGCAUGACAUGGUGGGACACGUUGCACUGUGAUGGCAAAGUUUGACUAGAUGUUUCAGAAGGUCCACCUAUGUCCUAAAUUCCUAUAAAGAGUGUUCAAUUGCAUUCCCUGGCUGAUGAGUAUGUUGACAGCAGGGAAGAGACAGGUUGCUACCUGCUGCGGUCUGGUCUCUACUAGCUCCCAUGCUUCUGGACACUGAAGAUAUGGAGGGGAAACCUCCAGCAGAUGACAACAGCAGAUGUCUUGCACAGAGGGGGAAUGUGUAGUGUCAGAUGAGUAAAAGUGAGGGAUCCAUCACAAGCAGCACAAUGCUUCUGACUGAGAUAACUCAAAAUGGAGAUAAACAGCUGAAUUACUAAGUCCGUGCAGAAAAUGAGAGUACUUUGGAGGAGGCAAUGCCAAGAGCAUGUUUGGUUCUGAAGCUAUUUUGCAAUGGGUGCAUCCAAGGCUGGUUUCAUACCAGAAGUCCAAGUAAUACUAUUUGGUAAGUGUUAACUCUGUGACCAGCGUACAUGAUCCAGCAGCAAGAAGAAAAACAAAGACAUGAUGGGGCUCUGCAGCCAUUUAAGCAUGACUUUGGUAAACAAAGCUGGUUUAAUACUCGCAGGAGCCUCAGGCAGGGGCUAAGGCACUGGCUCCUCCCUCCACCCACCUGCACACUGGAUGACUUGUACAAAACUUAGCCCAGUGGGAGCCCCAGCAUUUAACCUGGUCCCCCUGCAUUUAUCACCCACCACCCUCCUUCCACAAGACCAAACCAACAUGCUUGGCUGUGCUUGUAAAGACAGCUGGACCAUCAACUGGGGUGAACUGAAAAUUAGGAAUCAGACAGGCAUCCCAAGAUCUGUAACUUGUUAAAAUCCCAGGGAACAUUUUCCAGCAAGCUGGUAGAGUGUGGCCUUGCCAACACGGGCACCUGGGUGUGGGAAGAAUGUUGGCAGGGCAAUGAACUCAUUAAGGUGGAGCUCUGUCACCACCUCCUGAAGGAAUCUGAGAUGAGCCCAUCACACCGCUGUACCCUUGUGCAACUGAGUGUAGGAAGGAUCAGUCACUGGAGCUCGGCGCUGCCCUGCUCUACACGCUGAAGUCAACGCCACCAGGAGAAAUAAGAGCCCUUUCCAUGUAAGCAAACUGAUCCGGCUGAUAUCGAGUGACUCAUUAACGGCUUACAAAACUUAAGUAGACCAUAGCGUUACUCUCUAGUAGUGGGAACUCCUCAGCUUGAAAGGAGGAUUUGAUACUUGCCAAAAGCUCACCUUGGGCCUAAUCAUCGUUAGUAAUAGCAGAUCUGCCCUUGGAGGUGUUUGCAAGAAGUUACAAGCUGCACCUGCUCUGAGGAAUUAAUUUUUUUUCCAAAGAUCCUGGGCACAGAGACAAGUUGGACAUGCACUGGGAAAUCGUGGACUCCAAACCUGUAAUGCAAGUGAUGAGAGGUGAAGAUCUGCUCCUGAGCAGAUCCUAAGCUGGACAAAUGCUUUUACUCAACUGUGCCUUUUCUCAGUCGCUCAUCACAUUUCACUCCCUGUGCUGCUCUCCACCCAUUUCCCAUCCAAGCCCCCAAAAUAUUUAAAAUAGCCUAUGCUGAUUAGAUUCAUUUGAGACAAAAGAAUCUUAUUUUUGGAAUAAGAGUUGCAGAAGCCACACUGAAAAAAUAAAUCCAUGGUCUUAGAUGUACAUCAGAAUAUAGUUGGUUGGCUUUCUGGGCUGCAAGGACACAUUGCUGGCUCAUGUCCAUCUUGCCAUCCACUAUUCGUAUAUAUCGUUCUCAGGAUAGCAAAAUAGAUUUCUUAAGAGCAUCUGGAAUUACUGAGUAGAACUUGCCCAUGCUUCUGGCCUCCACAGAUCACAUCUCUGAAGGACACUCUUGCUGCUCCAGCUCAAGACUUUGUACAACUUAUCGUUAAAUUCCAUAAAUAGCAUCUCAUGUGUUAGAUGUAACACCUCUAGCAGUAUCCUUAGCAUAAAGAAGGUGAAUAUACUUUGCUGAAUUCUUUUUUCAUCAGCCCAAAGCAACUCUAAAACCAAAGAAAUGCAGUAUUUGGCCAAUAGCAACUGGGAGGUUUGAGGGGAUAUGAUGCUACAAAUCCAGCCUUUUAAAGAGCAGGUAGCACUAAGAGUCAGUGGCCAAGCUGGGUUAUUAGAUACUGAGGCAAAAAAAUGGAUUUUGGGGUUGACUGAGCAUCUGUCUUUGCAGAAAAUAUAGAGAACAACAGCAUCACUUCAUUCUCAGCAUCUUAAUACAUGCCAGCUCCAAGCACUAACUCAGGCAUUUCACAGCCCACAAAGCCCAGAGAAGGCAGCUAUUGUAUCAAUUAUGAGAGUUAGAUUUUGGUGUCCCCAGAGUAACUUUAACCAAAAAGCUGUUUCUCAGAUAAAUCCCACCAGAUAACCCUGGAAGCAAAAAAGGGCCAGUAAUAGCAAAAGGCAACAGGUGAGGCAUUGGAACGGGCUGCCCAGGGAAGUGAAGAACUCGCCAUACCUGGAGGUGUUCAAGCAAAAGGGUAAAUGUGGCACUGAGGGACAUGGUGUAAUGGGCAUGGUGGGGAUGGGUUGACCGUUGGACUAGAUGAUCUUAGUGGUCUUUUCUAAUCUUAAUGAUUCAGGAAAAUAAGGCUUUGAUGUGAGGCCAGCUAGGCUCCAAAUCAGCCAGUGAGAAGAGGGAUGGAUUCGUGUUGGAAAACUUCUUGGAAGAGGGUCGGCCACAAAAUGCAAAGCUAAGGGACUUGUCUGGUUCAGUAGCACUGCAGAUGGUUUCCAGUACUUAAACCCCAAUGAAAACACAAGUGCAGAGAAAGGUUCAACUGAGGAGCAGGUCCAAGGACAGAUCCUGCAUGGAAGAAGCUCCCAAUAGCCCUGAUGUUUAGAGCACUGGGUGUUAACAGAGUGAUGGGUGAUUUAACCUGUGGGAAGCUCUGGUCCCUCUUUACAAGCUUCACAUCGGCUUGGUCCAGGGCUGAAGCUGAGCAGCAGAGCGAGAAACAUUAUCCAGCUCCUGUGGAUAGAAACUGGGACAUGCACAGAUGCUGUGCCCAAACCCUCCAACAAAGCCACGCCAGAGCUGAGUUUCUUAAUAACAAGAGUGCGUUUCUGCCUUUGAAUACAUGCAAUGGCUAUCAUGCAGAGAACAACAUCUUAGCAGAUGUGUACACCUAAUAUGACAAUUCUUACAGCACUCAUUCUAAUAAGUACUGUAAAUGACAUCUCAAUUAAAAACGAGCAAUUGCACACAACUUCCUGCCCCUAUUUCUUAAUUUGCUUCUGCAUAAGGAAAAUAAAUAUGCAGUGGUGUUACCUGAGCUGACUCACACAUAACCUGAAUUACAAAUUUUCAGGCACUACAGCAAAUAGUGCCCAGUCCUGAAGGUCUCCUGCAUGCAGCAGUGUC